Molecule: transfer RNA, 72 nt
Filed under: Bos taurus (domestic cattle)
Lineage: Eukaryota; Metazoa; Chordata; Mammalia; Artiodactyla; Bovidae
Also listed under: 3 other names
Rfam family: tRNA
About the family: Transfer RNA (tRNA) molecules are approximately 80 nucleotides in length. Their secondary structure includes four short double-helical elements and three loops (D, anti-codon, and T loops).
Source: Rfam by way of RNAcentral
UCCCUUGUAGCUCAGUCGGUAAAGAAUCUGCCUGCAAUGCAGGAGACCCAGGUUCGAUCCCUGGGUCGGGAA